CUGUGUUCACAGGGAACCUUACCCGCAGGACUUCCUGAGCUGCAUGCCAGAACAUCCGCAGUACCGUCAGGCCAAGGCAACGUGGACAUCAGAGUUGUGCUGCAGAGGUUCCAAAUUCUGCUCUCUGCGGGAUCCAGUCUGGACCAGCACCAGGAACAUCAAUGCCAUCAGGAUCGACCAAGAGGAGUGGUGCUGCCCUCACGACCCUCCAUACAUAGCGGUAGGAAACCUUUUUGUUGUUGUUGUGUUUCUUGUUGAUGUUGUUCUUGAUUGUUGUUUUUAUUGAUGGAUUUUGAAUCUCAGGGUGGUUCACAAUACCAAGCUACAGUAUAUGAAGCACAAAAUAGAUAAUAAAAAUAAUCACUGCACAAAAUUCAUGAUAAAAAUAUCAGAACAUAAUAAAAAUUAAAAUAAUAAAAAACAUAUGCGCAAUGAAUAAACAAUACAAAAGCCCCGAAAACACUCCAGCCCACAAAUACAAAAUCUAAAUCAACAUAUCACGUUUAACAACCGUUUAGAACAACCCCGCCCUGCAAAUCAAACAGCACCCACCCAAGAUAAAACCCCAUCUUUGUUAAAACAGUUAUGUUAACACAAGGGGGCUGGCCCACGAUCUGGUCCCACCCCCUAAGUGCUGCUCCCAAAGGGACAAUCUUAUCUUUGUUGUUUCCCCUUUGUCAGGAGUCCCGCCCCCAGGACAAGCAGGCUCCCCCAGUUGCUGGUGGUACGCCCAGGGUCCGGUUCCUUGCAGGACUCUCUGCUAUCCUCUUGAGUGAGGGGUGGCAGGCAACCCCCAAGCAGUAACUUUCUUCCAUUUCUUUAUUAGAAAACACCUCCCCCUUUUAAUUUUUUUUUUCACCAACAGCGGGGAUUAUGUUGGGGGCAACUAGAGGGACUAACAUUCAUGAAAUUUAAUACCCUUUCUAACAUAAUCUCUUUUCUCUCUUUCCUGCAUGGAACAAAACUGUGAUGGAAAAUGGCGGCCUAUCUGCUGGACCCUAGGGGGAGACCUCCGGAGAAAAGAAGACCCCAUCAAGAAUGUCAUCAGCCGGGAAAGGAACUGCCCUGAAGACAACACCUGCAACAUUGACCCUCCAUCUAGCAGUGAAUUUGAGGACUGGACACUUUUUAUUGACUCUUUCAGGACUUAAAACAGCAAACAGGACUUUUUGUAGUGAGAUAGGUAAGUUAAAAUGGAUGUAUAGAAUAGUAUAGGCAAAAUAUGAAGCAUUCAAGGAUAGGUAACACUAUGCUAGAUAGUAUUUUGUAUAUUAUUUUUGUUCCUUCUUUUUUAUAAACAUCUUUGUUCUUUCCCCCCCAUUUCCCCCCUUCCCAUCACUUUAUUUCUUUAUAAUUUUAAUUCUUUUAUUAAAAAUAUAUUUUUUAAAAAGGGUAAAUAUGGAUCUUAUGGUUUAUGUUAAAAUGUGUAAAAAAUCAUUUUGUAAAAAAUGAAUAAUAUUUUUGUUAAAAAGAGAAA
This is a long non-coding RNA of Podarcis raffonei (Aeolian wall lizard), 1477 nucleotides long. RefSeq lists it as uncharacterized. Lineage: Eukaryota; Metazoa; Chordata; Lepidosauria; Squamata; Lacertidae. The record is from RefSeq and is a predicted model, not a curated record. The transcript has 2 exons.